Molecule: long non-coding RNA, 3158 nt
Organism: Cyprinus carpio carpio
Lineage: Eukaryota; Metazoa; Chordata; Actinopteri; Cypriniformes; Cyprinidae
Source: Ensembl
UAGCCAAAAAUACACUGUAUGGGUCAAAAUUAUAGAUUUUUCUUUUAUGCCAAAAAUCAUUAGGAUAUUAAGUAAAGAUCAUGUUCCAUGAAGAUAUUUUAUAAAUUUCUUACCAUAAAUACAUCAAAACUUAAUUUUUAAUUAGUAAUAUGCAUUGCUAAGAACUUCAUUUGGACAACUUUAAAGGUGAUUUUCUCAAUAUUUUUUAUUUUUUUGCACCCUCAGAUUCCAGAUUUUCAAAUAGUUAUGGUUUUGUGGUCCAUGGUCACAUUUAACAUCAUAACCCUGUCUGUGAUCUGUCUCAGAUCCGUUGGCUGUUGGAGGAUGAGAUAGUCUCUGCUCUGCGGCACUCGUCUUUAUCAGCUCCUCCACGCUGCAGAAAGUGUGUCGCUCCAGCGGCCGCCCGUGCCACUGUGAGGUCAUUCCUCUGCAGUUCGUAUUUGGUCCCGAGCAGUCGCUGGUAAAGUUUCAAGAGGAGUUCAAGAGGUUAUCGCUUCCUGGUUACCUGCUGAACGCCGAGCAGCACAACUUCCACUACAUCUCACUGAGUCAACAGCAGUUUCUCAGGCUUCAGGCCAUGAGACAGCUGUCUAACAUCUCUGCUCAGUACUCAACGUCUCGGCAGAGCAGCCUGUGUCCUGAGGUGGAGGACGGAGCCAGAGCAUCAGCAAACAGAGAAACAGAGUCCAAGAGAAAAGAGCCCGACACUGAGGUAAUUAUCAGCAAUCUUUAAAACCAUACCUGAAGAAAUGCAUUGCAUUUGUUUAAUGAUGAAGUUUUCACAUUAACUUUAAAAUAAAGUGUGGUUUAAGUAAAUGUAACACUCAGAUUUAACAAAGUUGACUUGAUGUCUAUUGCCACAUGGGCCGCUGUCUUAUAAAUCAGCAUACUGUCUGAAAUGGAAAGUAAAAGUUACGAAAUGCCCUGCAUAUAAGUGGCACGCCUCACAUGAAACUCAACUCAAAAUCGAGGCCGUUUUAUUCCUAAUUUAUUAUUCAUUAUUGUCAGCCACUUUAAACAUUGUAAACACAGUUUGAACAUUAGCACUGCACUGUGCUUACAUACAGGUAAAUAAAAAACUUAAAUGAUUAAAUUAAAAUGUACUGUACCUAAAAGUUAAAUAAAAACUGUAUGGUAAUUAAAAAGUAAAAAACUAAACUGUACUGUACUUAAAUGUAAAGUAAAAAAAAUGUACAGUACUUGAUGAAAAAAUUAACCCAGGCAUCAUUUAGCCACCUUGCACACUUUUUAAAAUGUUUUAACAUGAAUUUAUAUUUAAUUCAGUGAUUCCUCUGCGUUUGACUUUGACCACAGUCUCAAACAGGAUUUUUCACAUUGCAGUGCAUUUUGGGAUUGCCUUUUUCAACAAAGCAUACACUGUCACAAGUUCUGUAUGAUUUUCACUAUGUAAGAAAUUAACAUUUAUUUGUAUUCAAUUUUAAGAAUUAGUUUUAUUCAGCAAGGAUGCAUAAAAAAAUCAAAUAUGUUUAUAAUGUUACAAAAGAUUUUUAUUUUAAAUGAAUGCUGCUGUUUUGAACUUUCUUUUUAUUAAAAAGGAUCCUGAAAAAUAAAAAGUAUCAUGGUUUCCACAAAAAAUAUUCGGCAGCACAACUCUUUUCAACAUUGAUAAUAAUCAGAAAUGUUUCUUAGAAUGAUUUCUGAAGGAUCAUGUGACACUGAAGACUGGAGUAAUGAUGCUGAAAAUUCAGCUUUGAUCACAGGAAUAAAUUAGAUUUUACAAUACAUUUACAUAAAAAAACAGUUAUUUUAAAUUGUAAUAAUAUUCCACAAUAUUAUUGUUUUUACUGUAUUUUUAAUCAAAUAAAUGCAGCUUUAAAGAGAACAUUAAAAAACUGACCCAAAACAUAUGAAACUAUUAAACUAUAUAUGAUUACUAUGAUAUAAACUAUGAUAUGAUAUGAUUUUAAAUCUGUAUUUUACCUCAGAACAAUCUCAAAGUAAAAAGAGGUGCUAAAGUCUAAAGUUUGUGGUGGCUGUGCUUUGAAAUUAUAUUAGUAUAAUCUUAAUUCAAGUGAUGAAGGAUUUUGAAAAUCAGACAGGUAUAAUGUUGAGUAGUACUGUAAGGUUAACCCUGCCUGCUUUACAUGUUUUAGAAUGAUUACCAGUUUAGAAAAAUUUUGAAAUUUGAAUUUUGAAAAGUAGCCUAAUCAAAAAGUAAUCAAAUGCAAGCAGUUACAUUACUUUAAUAAAGCAAUUUAAAUAGUUACACUACUUACUGCAUUUUAAAUAGGGCAACUCAUAAUCUGUAACCUGUUACAUUUCCAAAGUAACAUUCCCAACACUGGACUCUAAUGAGGUGAAAAGUUGCAAAAAAGGCUUGCAUACUAUGAGGAUGAAAAAGACAACAAAGCAUUUCAAUGGCAAUUACAGUGGCAUGUGCAAGAGUCAUCAUAAAGGAAUAUUUUAACCAAAAAUAGAAAAUUUAAAACUGAAAAUGUUCUCACCCUCAGGCCAUCCAAGAUGUAGAUGAGUUUGUUUCAUCAUCAGAUUUGGAGAUAUGUAGCAUUUCAUCACUUGUUCAUCAGCGAAUGCUCUGCAGUGAAUGGGUGCCGUCAGAAUGAGAGUCCAAACAGCUGAUACAAACAUACCAAUAAUCCACACCACUCCAGUCCAUCAGUUAAGAUCUCGUGAAGCAAAAAGCUGCAUGUUUGUAAGAAACAAAUCCAAAAGUGGUCUGAUCUGAAUCAGGAAAGAAAUCUGCAUAGAUCAAAACACCGUUUUGAUUAACAAAUAUGUGGGUGGAUUUCGGUGUGAGAGACAACAGGGGAUGAACUUUUUCACUGGAGGGAGCAUUAUUAUGGAUUUUGGCCAGAAGUCUGAAGUUAAAAAGUCUUAAUGAUGGAUUUGUUUCUUUUGGCUUCACAAGAUGUUAGCUGAUGGACUGGAGUGGUGUGGAUUACUUGUGGAUUACUGUGAUGUUUUUAUCAGCUGUUUCUCACGGCACCCAUUCACUGCAGAGCAUCCAUUGCUGAGCAAGUGAUGCAAUGCUACAUUUCUCCAAAUCUGAUGAAGAAACAAACGCAUCUACAUCUUAGAUGACCUAAAUGUGAGGACAUUUUCAGCAGAUUUUUAUUUUGGGGUGAACUAUUCCUUUAAAACAAAGAUCAAUAACAGUUGAAUAUGUCACAUGAUUUUGG